Molecule: ribosomal RNA, 1014 nt
Filed under: uncultured bacterium
Lineage: Bacteria
Description: bacterial SSU rRNA
Rfam family: Bacterial small subunit ribosomal RNA
Source: RNAcentral
AGGACGAACGCUGGCGGCGUGCCUAAUACAUGCAAGUCGAACGCUUCUUUCCUCCCGAGUGCUUGCACUCAAUUGGAAAGAGGAGUGGCGGACGGGUGAGUAACACGUGGGUAACCUACCCAUCAGAGGGGGAUAACACUUGGAAACAGGUGCUAAUACCGCAUAACAGUUUAUGCCGCAUGGCAUAAGAGUGAAAGGCGCUUUCGGGUGUCGCUGAUGGAUGGACCCGCGGUGCAUUAGCUAGUUGGUGAGGUAACGGCUCACCAAGGCCACGAUGCAUAGCCGACCUGAGAGGGUGAUCGGCCACACUGGGACUGAGACACGGCCCAGACUCCUACGGGAGGCAGCAGUAGGGAAUCUUCGGCAAUGGACGAAAGUCUGACCGAGCAACGCCGCGUGAGUGAAGAAGGUUUUCGGAUCGUAAAACUCUGUUGUUAGAGAAGAACAAGGACGUUAGUAACUGAACGUCCCCUGACGGUAUCUAACCAGAAAGUCACGGCUAACUACGUGCCAGCAGCCGCGGUAAUACGUAGGUGGCAAGCGUUGUCCGGAUUUAUUGGGCGUAAAGCGAGCGCAGGCGGAUUGAUAAGUCUGAUGUGAAAGCCUUCGGCUCAACCGAAGAACUGCAUCAGAAACUGUCAAUCUUGAGUGCAGAAGAGGAGAGUGGAACUCCAUGUGUAGCGGUGGAAUGCGUAGAUAUAUGGAAGAACACCAGUGGCGAAGGCGGCUCUCUGGUCUGUAACUGACGCUGAGGCUCGAAAGCAUGGGUAGCGAACAGGAUUAGAUACCCUGGUAGUCCAUGCCGUAAACGAUGAGUGCUAAGUGUUGGGAGGUUUCCGCCUCUCAGUGCUGCAGCUAACGCAUUAAGCACUCCGCCUGGGGAGUACGACCGCAAGGUUGAAACUCAAAGGAAUUGACGGGGGCCCGCACAAGCGGUGGAGCAUGUGGUUUAAUUCGAAGCACGCGAAGAACCUUACCAGGUCUUGACAUCCUUGACACUAAGAGAUUAGUUUU